AUGCUCCAAACAGUAACAUAUUCACAGUUGAAUUUUCAACUGAUGAUGAUGCAGGGGAGGACGUCCAGGUGGUUGGCAAGACACCCAACCAAGGUUACCACAAUGGUAGUGAUCAUCAUGGUGCCGACACCGACGACGACACGCAUGGGUCGCAAGGUGAUAGCGACAACGACGCGCAGGACACGGGCUGAGAUCUCAGCAACGACAUCGACAACGAGGCACAUAGUGAUGAUGACAAUCAAGAUGAUGGUCACGGUCACGAUGACUACGCCGACGACGCAGAUGUCGACAACGAGGAUGCCAACGAUCCAGCAUCUACCAUGCCGAGACUCAACGGUCUUACUCAAGUGCAUCGACGCCGACACAAUUUGUGUCGCCUCCUUCGCAAGCCACAACAGAUUCUUCCGGGCCUCGUCGCUACAAGACCCUCAAGAAAGUCUACAAGUACGCAAAGCCAGUUACACUCGAGUACUCCGAUUUGUGUUUACUCGGAGUUGA
RNAcentral lists this ribosomal RNA (498 nucleotides) under Triticum aestivum (bread wheat). Its description in RNAcentral is "partial small subunit ribosomal RNA". The record is from RNAcentral. Lineage: Eukaryota; Viridiplantae; Streptophyta; Magnoliopsida; Poales; Poaceae.